UCCGGGUUGGGGUAAUGGUAACCCGCCAGGCUCUGAACCUGGUACCCCUGGUUCGAUUCCAGGCCCCGGAA
Molecule: transfer RNA, 71 nt
Filed under: Myxococcales bacterium
Lineage: Bacteria; Pseudomonadati; Myxococcota; Myxococcia; Myxococcales
Also listed under: 1 other name
Description: tRNA-Gln
Rfam family: tRNA
About the family: Transfer RNA (tRNA) molecules are approximately 80 nucleotides in length. Their secondary structure includes four short double-helical elements and three loops (D, anti-codon, and T loops). Further hydrogen bonds mediate the characteristic L-shaped molecular structure. tRNAs have two regions of fundamental functional importance: the anti-codon, which is responsible for specific mRNA codon recognition, and the 3' end, to which the tRNAs corresponding amino acid is attached (by aminoacyl-tRNA synthetases). tRNAs cope with the degeneracy of the genetic code in two manners: having more than one tRNA (with a specific anti-codon) for a particular amino acid; and 'wobble' base-pairing, i.e. permitting non-standard base-pairing at the 3rd anti-codon position.
Source: RNAcentral